UACGGGGGGGGCAAGCGUUGUUCGGAAUUACUGGGCGUAAAGGGCUCGUAGGCGGCCAACUAAGUCGGACGUGAAAUCCCCGGGCUCAACCCGGGAACUGCGUCCGAUACUGGCAGGCUUGAAUCCGGGAGAGGGAUGCGGAAUUCCAGGUGUAGCGGUGAAAUGCGUAGAUAUCUGGAGGAACACCGGUGGCGAAGGCGGCAUCCUGGACCGGCAUUGACGCUGAGGCGCGAAAGCCAGGGGAGCAAACGGG
RNAcentral lists this ribosomal RNA (253 nucleotides) under uncultured bacterium. RNAcentral describes it as "partial 16S ribosomal RNA". It matches the Rfam family "Bacterial small subunit ribosomal RNA", at positions 524 to 776 of the family's 1533-position model. The record is from RNAcentral.